This 305-nucleotide long non-coding RNA is filed under the name Brassica napus (rape). Its description in RNAcentral is "long non-coding RNA (BNAP_LNC002611)". The record is from RNAcentral. Lineage: Eukaryota; Viridiplantae; Streptophyta; Magnoliopsida; Brassicales; Brassicaceae.
GGGGUGAAGAUUUGAGAUUAAAGUUUAAAAUUUUAUAAAAUAAAAAAUAAAUAUUAAAAAUUUGAAAAUAAAAUUUUUUAAAAAUAGUUUAAAAUAGUAUUUUCGAAUUACAAAAAUAAAAUUUGAAAAUAAAAAUUUAUAAAAAAGUUCAAAUUUGAAAACAUAUAGUCAAAAACUAUAAAAUAUUUUUUUUAUUUUUUUAUUUUUUUUAUUUUUAAUAUAUCUAAGGUAUUAGUGUCAUUUUACCUAUUAAAUGAAAUAUUUUGGUCAUUUACCUCCUUGUGAUCUAUUUUUGUGACCAAAAC